This 492-nucleotide ribosomal RNA is filed under the name uncultured bacterium. RNAcentral's name for it is "partial 16S ribosomal RNA". It matches the Rfam family "Bacterial small subunit ribosomal RNA", at positions 29 to 507 of the family's 1533-position model. The record is from RNAcentral.
AGUGAACGCUGGCGGUAGGCCUAGCACAUGCAAGUCGAACGGCAGCACAGUAAGAGCUUGCUCUUACGGGUGGCGAGUGGCGGACGGGUGAGGAAUACAUCGGAAUCUACUUUUUCGUGGGGGAUAACGUAGGGAAACUUACGCUAAUACCGCAUACGACCUACGGGUGAAAGCAGGGGAUCUUCGGACCUUGCGCGAUUGAAUGAGCCGAUGUCGGAUUAGCUAGUUGGCGGGGUAAAGGCCCACCAAGGCGACGAUCCGUAGCUGGUCUGAGAGGAUGAUCAGCCACACUGGAACUGAGACACGGUCCAGACUCCUACGGGAGGCAGCAGUGGGGAGUAUUGGACAAUGGGCGCAAGCCUGAUCCAGCCAUACCGCGUGGGUGAAGAAGGCCUUCGGGUUGUAAAGCCCUUUUGUUGGGAAAGAAAAGCAGCAGGUUAAUACCCCGCUGUUCUGACGGUACCCAAAGAAUAAGCACCGGCUAACUUCGUG